UGACUCCUGUUCUGUGUAUGGCACUGGUAGAAUUCACUGUGAACAGUCUCAGUCAGUGAAUUACCGAAGGGCCAUAAACAGAGCAGAGACA
This is a microRNA precursor of Marmota marmota marmota (Alpine marmot), 91 nucleotides long. Ensembl annotates it as microRNA 183. Its record names the gene MIR183. NCBI's taxonomy places the organism in Eukaryota, Metazoa, Chordata, Mammalia, Rodentia, Sciuridae. The record is from Ensembl.